This 588-nucleotide ribosomal RNA is filed under the name Psychrobacillus sp. RNAcentral's name for it is "bacterial SSU rRNA". It matches the Rfam family "Bacterial small subunit ribosomal RNA", at positions 39 to 607 of the family's 1533-position model. Lineage: Bacteria; Bacillati; Bacillota; Bacilli; Caryophanales; Bacillaceae. The record is from RNAcentral.
GCGGCAUGCCUAAUACAUGCAAGUCGAGCGAAUGACGAAGAAGCUUGCUUCUUCUGAUUUAGCGGCGGACGGGUGAGUAACACGUGGGCAACCUGCCCUGUAGAUUGGGAUAACUCCGGGAAACCGGGGCUAAUACCGAAUAAUCCAUUUCCUCACAUGGGGAGAUGUUAAAAGACGGCAUCUCGCUGUCCCUACAGGAUGGGCCCGCGGCGCAUUAGCUAGUUGGUGAGGUAACGGCUCACCAAGGCGACAAUGCGUAGCCAACCUGAAAGGGUGAUCGGCCACACUGGGACUGAAACACGGCCCAAACUCCUACGGGAGGCAGCAGUAGGGAAUCUUCCACAAUGGACGAAAGUCUGAUGGAGCAAUGCCGCGUGAGUGAAAAAGGUUUUCGGAUCGUAAAACUCUGUUGGGAGGGAAGAACAAGUACGAGAGUAACUGCUCGUACCUUGACGGUACCUCAUUAAAAAGCCACGGCUAACUACGUGCCACCAGCCGCGGUAUAACCUAGGUGGCAAGCGUUGUCCGGAAUUAUUGGGGGUCCUGCGCUCGCAGGCAGUCCUUUACUCCUAAUGUGAAAUCCCACGG